This is a long non-coding RNA of Chelonia mydas (Green sea turtle), 1736 nucleotides long. RefSeq lists it as uncharacterized. NCBI's taxonomy places the organism in Eukaryota, Metazoa, Chordata, Testudines, Cheloniidae. The transcript is spliced from 2 exons. The record is from RefSeq and is a predicted model, not a curated record.
UGAUUCCAGCAGGAGCCCAACGUGUGCUCGCAGUCAGAGCAGCUCUGGUAUGAUGUUAAAACACCAGCGGCCUGGCCCUGCCAGGGCUCACCUCCCACCAGGAUAGAUCCCAAGCUUGCUCCCACUGAGGUUGAUUGAAGUCCCAUUGUCUCCAGUGGGUACAGGACUGCAACGGAGAUCCUCAAUGGGUGUAAAUUGCCAUAACUCCAUUGGCUUCAAUAAAACAACAUUUUACACAAGUAGAGACUAUUUGUUUGAUGUGCCAAGUUACACAUGACUGUUUGACGUGCCAAGAUUUUGACUAAAAUAAUUGUAACCUUCUUCCAGUGUUCUGGCUUUUGAGUGACGAUUAGGAGCCAGAUCUUGUAGUGCUGAGGUAGUCAAAACUCCUGUUUAAGGCCCCAACCCUGCAAAUACUUAGGCUUGUGGUUAACUCCAGUCAUGUCAGUAAAUCUCACUCACUUCUAGUGCUUAAAGUUAAGCAUAUUUUUGUUUGAAGGUUCUGUGGCUUAGUCAGUAGGAGUUAUGACUGUCCAAGGACUGCAGGAGUAGGCCCCAAGGGAUUAUUAUAGAUACUGGGAUGCAGUGUAGGGGGAAAAAAUUAUCUCUUAAUUGAAACAAUAAAAAAAAUAAGAAAGAGCUUCCUAUUUCUUCAGUCUUAAAGAAGGUGGAAAUUGUGAGAGUUUGGUUCAUGGGAUAAGUGACAUAAUUCAUGAUAGACUAUAACUAUGUGGCUUUGGUCUUUUUUUAUAAGACAUUUGUUCUUAGGUAAUUUUUAAUUUUCUAGUUCUAGGCAUUUAUUAUUUUUGAUCAUACCACUUGUAGGGAUAUAUUUCUAUUUCUCUUACAUUGACACUCCCUCUCAGUUGCUCUCACUUCUUCUGCUGAGAGAGCUAUUGCUUUUGCUCUCCCAUUUUACAGAAAGAUCUGGUUCAAUAUACUGUCGAUAUAAAACACAGGGAGCUAAACCAAGGGUGAGAUAUAUAGAAGACGUGAUGUUGCAUUAUGAUUGUAGCGAAAACAAAAAUUAAGUUACAUUUCUGUCCAAAAUGGGGGGAUUUAUAUUUAAAAGUAACUAAUAAAAAUCAAAAGCACUAAUAUUUUUUUAUUUCUGUGCCAGUCGUGUCAUCCUUAGACAAUCCCAUAAAAUAAAUAUUUGGUCACGAAGAGAGCAAUGUCAACAGCUACUUAAGUGAAAUUUAAUUUUAGGAUGGAGAUAUGGGUUAAUUUCCAUAGAGGACAGCCUGGUAACAUUUUGAAAAAUGGUUGGUGGGGCAAAAUAAGAAGGAACAAGGUGGAAUAAGAAAAGAAGAAAAGAGGAGGAAAAAGGAAAGGUUUGGGAUGGGAAAAGAAGAGGAAAUAUGUAGGGUAAUAAGAAAUUAAAAUGUUAGGUCUAUGUACUUUAAAAAAAAAAAAAAAGGAACUUUGCAAAACAAGGCUAAAGUGGCAUCCUGUGUCUUAUGCUUACCUUCAUUCUCCAUUCAAACUCUACUGUCAUAAUAUUACCAAAAACCCCCGAGUUGCAGCUCUGGAGCUCUUGCGGUCCUCCCUUUCUGUUUGUUUUUAUAAAAUAUUUUGCAGUUUUAUUCAGGAUUUGAAGCAGCAGAGCAAAUAUUUACUCAAAGGUAUAUUGUUCAGUUCUUUAGUAAAACAGCUGGUGCUAAUACUCUCUUUUGGGUGGCAACAACCUUAAUGCCACCUUAAAGUUUUGUUGUAAGUAAAUUGAAAGUAUAUUU